This is a non-coding RNA of Hordeum vulgare subsp. vulgare (domesticated barley), 135 nucleotides long. The record is from Rfam. Lineage: Eukaryota; Viridiplantae; Streptophyta; Magnoliopsida; Poales; Poaceae.
UGAAUACUCCCUCCGUCCCAAAAUUCUUGUCUUGGUUUGUUUUAAAAUGGAUGUAUCAAAAUACUAAAAUAUGACUAGAUACAUUCACAUAUAUACAAAUCUAAGACAAGAAUUUUGGGACGGAGGGAGUACUUA